GAUCAGGCUGUUGGUGAGGCAACGGCUCACCAAACCUAUAACCGGUACGGGCCGUGGGAGCGGGAGCCCGGAGAUGGGAACUGAGACAAGGUCCCAGGCCCUACGGGGCGCAGCAGUUACGAAAACUUGUCACUGCACGAAAGUGCGAACGGGCUACCCCGAGUGCCGUCCGCUGAGGAUGGCUUUUCUCUGCUGUAAGAAGGCGGAGGAAUAAGGAGAGGGCAAGUCUGGUGUCAGCCGCCGCGGUAAUACCAGCUCUCCGAGUGGUGGGGAUGUUUAUUGGGCUUAAAGCGUCCGUAGCUGGCCUUUCAAGUCUCUCGUUAAAUCCAGCGAUUCAAUCGUUGGACUGCGGGAGAUACUGUUAGGCUAGGGGGCGGGAGAAGCCGACGGUAUUUUCGGGGUAGGGGUAAAAUCCUAUAAUCCCGGGAAGACCACCAGUGGCGAAGGCGGUCGGCUAGCACGCGCUCGACGGUGAGGGACGAAAGCUGGGGGAGCGGACCGGAUUAGAUACCCGGGUAGUCCCAGCUGUAAACGAUGCGGGCUAGGUGAU
Molecule: ribosomal RNA, 550 nt
Filed under: uncultured archaeon
Lineage: Archaea
Description: bacterial SSU rRNA
Rfam family: Archaeal small subunit ribosomal RNA
Source: RNAcentral